CCUACGGGAGGCAGCAGUGAGGAAUAUUGGACAAUGGCCGAGAGGCUGAUCCAGCCAUGCCGCGUGCGGGAGGACGGCCCUAUGGGUUGUAAACCGCUUUUGUCAGGGGGCAAUAAGGGUCACGUGUGGCCCGAUGAGAGUACCUGGCGAAUAAGCAUCGGCUAACUCCGUGCCAGCAGCCGCGGUAAU
This 189-nucleotide ribosomal RNA is filed under the name uncultured bacterium. RNAcentral describes it as "partial 16S ribosomal RNA". It matches the Rfam family "Bacterial small subunit ribosomal RNA", at positions 338 to 524 of the family's 1533-position model. The record is from RNAcentral.